Molecule: ribosomal RNA, 254 nt
Filed under: uncultured bacterium
Lineage: Bacteria
Description: partial 16S ribosomal RNA
Rfam family: Bacterial small subunit ribosomal RNA
Source: RNAcentral
UACGUAGGUGGCAAGCGUUAUCCGGAAUACUGGGCGUAAAGCGCACGCAGGCGGUCUUGUAAGUUUGACGUGAAAGCUCCCGGCUUAACUGGGAGAGGUCGUUGAAUACUGCGAGACUUGAGUUUAGGAGAGGGGUGUAGAAUUCCCGGUGUAGUGGUGGAAUGCGUAGAUAUCGGGAGGAACACCAGUGGCGAAGGCGACUUCCUGGCCCUGUUCUUGGCGCUGAGGCGCGAAAGCUAGGGUAGCAAACGGGG